GAAAUGCGAUAAGUAAUGUGAAUUGCAGAAUUCAGUGAAUCAUCGAAUCUUUGAACGCACAUUGCGCCCGCCAGUAUUCUGGCGGGCAUGCCUGUUCGAGCGUCAUUUCAACCAUCAAGCCCCCGGCUUGUGUUGGGGACCUGCGGCUGCCCGCAGGCCCUGAAAAACAGUGGCGGGCUCGCUGUCACACCGAGAGUAGUAGCAUACAUUCUCGCUCAGGGCGUGCUGCGGGUUCCGGCCGUUAAACGACCUUCAUAACCCAAGGUUGACCUCGGAUCAGGUAGGAAGACCCGCUGAACUUAAGC
Molecule: unclassified non-coding RNA, 305 nt
Filed under: plant metagenome
Description: partial contains 5.8S ribosomal RNA, internal transcribed spacer 2, and large subunit ribosomal RNA
Rfam family: 5.8S ribosomal RNA (bases 1-105)
Source: RNAcentral